RNAcentral lists this ribosomal RNA (311 nucleotides) under uncultured eukaryote. RNAcentral describes it as "partial 18S ribosomal RNA". It matches the Rfam family "Eukaryotic small subunit ribosomal RNA", at positions 1470 to 1796 of the family's 1831-position model. The record is from RNAcentral.
CCCUUAGACGCCUUGGGCCGCACGUGCGCUACAAUGACAUGCUCAACGAGUUCUAUCCUGAUUCGGAAGAAUUUGGGUAAUCUUUAUAGGACAUGUCGUGUUAGGGAUCGAUCUUUGGAAUUAUAGAUCUUGAACGAGGAAUUCCUAGUAAGUGCAAGUCAUCAGCUUGUACUGAUUACGUCCCUGCCCUUUGUACACACCGCCCGUCGCUGCUACCGAUUUCGAGUGGUCCGGUGAACCACAUAGACUUUGCAGCAAUGCUUAGGAAGUGUAGUAAACCUUAUCACUUAGAGGAAGCAGAANUCGUAACA